This 494-nucleotide ribosomal RNA is filed under the name uncultured bacterium. RNAcentral's name for it is "partial 16S ribosomal RNA". It matches the Rfam family "Bacterial small subunit ribosomal RNA", at positions 28 to 507 of the family's 1533-position model. The record is from RNAcentral.
GACGAACGCUGGCGGCGUGCUUAACACAUGCCAGUCGAACGGAAAGGCCUGCUUUCCCUUGUGGAUUGCGGGUACUCGAGUGGCGAACGGGUGAGUAACACGUGAGUGAUUUGCCCCCAACUUGGGUAUAAGCCUGGGAAACUGGGUCUAAUUCCCGAUAGGACUGCAGGGUGGUGCCUGUGGUGGAAAACGAUUUUCUAGUGGUUGGGGAUGAGCUCGCGGCCUAUCAGCUUGUUGGUGGGGUAAUGGCCUACCAAGGCGGCGACGGGUAGCCGGCCUGAGAGGGUGGACGGCCACAUUGGGACUGAGAUACGGCCCAGACUCCUACGGGAGGCAGCAGUGGGGAAUAUUGCACAAUGGGCGGAAGCCUGAUGCAGCGACGCCGCGUGGGGGAUGACGGCCUUCGGGUUGUAAACUCCUUUCGACCGCGAGGAAGCCACCUGGUUGGAAGGGUGGUGACGGUAGUGGUAGAAGAAGCACCGGCUAACUACGUG